This 411-nucleotide long non-coding RNA is filed under the name Glycine max (soybean). RNAcentral describes it as "long non-coding RNA (GMAX_LNC000306)". Lineage: Eukaryota; Viridiplantae; Streptophyta; Magnoliopsida; Fabales; Fabaceae. The record is from RNAcentral.
AGCUUAUAAUUUUUGCAGUUGAAUACAAAGGGAAAAUGCAUAUUAGAGUCCCUUCAAUAAAUAAAUAUAUAUAUAAAAAAACAUGACAAUGAAUAGAAUACAAAGCAAAUGCAAGUUGCUCAAAACAUGACACUACACAGAGGGCCAAACAUUUAGAUCGCAGACAUUUGUCAAAAGAACGAGAAACGCGAAUACAAUUCACCAAGGAAUAACGAAGAUAUUGAUGAUAAUGCAAUAAGAAAAAAAAGCUCAAAUUAUACAAUAAUCAGUAAACGAGUAUAAACACAAAGAAGAAGAAGAGAUAAGUAGAUGAGCAUAAAUAUAAAAAGUGUGAAUGGAAAAACGGAAGGGAAAAUAGGGUUUGGGAUUCGAAUACUGCGACUGCGAGGGGAAGAAGAAACUGCAUUAGAC